Molecule: unclassified non-coding RNA, 234 nt
Filed under: Hevea brasiliensis (rubber tree)
Lineage: Eukaryota; Viridiplantae; Streptophyta; Magnoliopsida; Malpighiales; Euphorbiaceae
Source: RNAcentral
GUAACAGUUAGCAGCCUUGUCGAAGAGAUCAGCGGCAUCUUCGUACUUUGAACCGAACAAUCCCCAACCAUUAAGCUUCUUCUCCGCUUUCUUCUCGAAUUCCUCUCCCUUGGCAAGCUGAUCGGCCAUCUUUAAACAGUAUCCUCGAGUUUGCUUUGAGCUUGAGGAAUGGAACAAGGAAUAUAAACCGGAAGAGAAAUUAAGGCGAAACUAGAAGGGUCAACUAUGGGCUUU